UUUGAAUGUUAACUUUUAAAAAUAAUUCACAGUAUUUAAAAAUUAAUUUUAGUUAUAUAAGUUUUAUAGUUAUUAAAUAAUCACUGGAAUGUAUGCUAUUGUGGUUUUUGACAACGAGAUGAAAACUGAAUACAUUCCUUUCAAUUGGAUAAUCAAUAAAAUUGAACUUCAAGAAGUUUCAAUGUUGGUUAGGCAGCGUAUAGAACUAAAAUGCUACUGGCCUCCAUGGUCAAAUUCAGGCAAAGUCAGUAGAGCACAAAAGCAGUGCUCUGAACCUGAAAUAGAUUGGAAAACAUACUCUAUUCGAUUGUUAGCAGUUGCAGGUAAUAAGAAAGAAGCCUGUGAAAAGGUGACAAUUGCAGAAGAGACCUCUAAUGUCGAAGAGAACUUUACUAAGCAAAAAAGAAAAGUAAGAAAGAAAAAAAAGAUAUCUGAAAAGCUUCCUAAGCCUGUAAUACCAGAGAGACAGUCGGGGGUUUGUCAUUUUGAGAUUGAAAACAGUGGAUUGUUAACUCCUGUGGUACGCACAGAAUCGUCAGAAAAGGAAGUUCAGCACAGACAAAAUAAAACUUUUGAUUUACAGUCAGAAAGUGUUGUAAAGUCAAAAGAUAUGUCUGGUCUUCCUGGUAACACAAGUACUCCAUUGUUAAAAACGUUUGGUUACACUACAUCUGCAGAAAAAUUGUUGUUGAAAAUUUUGGCAUCUCAAGAAAAAUAAGAGAGACGCAAAAGUUGCAUUCAGCUAUGUUGCACAGCAUUCAGCAACAAAUUAAUUCAACGCAUGGCAUUACAGAGGAUGAAAUUGAAUUAAACUUACCACUUAAAACAACUGAAGAUGUCGAAGCUUUUGAAGAUAGGUUGAAAGAUGAAGAUGUUAAAAAAAAAUUGGUUCAGGUCCUUGUAAAUAAUGGUGGUAUGAAUAUAACAAAUUUUGUAAGAAGGAAUAUCAAAUUUUUAUUUUCUAAUGAACUGGCACGAAAAUAUAACCUAACUGGUCAGAAAAAUAAAAAACCAUUUCAGCCAUUGCAGCUAUUUCAAGUAAUGUUUUUGACUGGCGAUGAUCCAGCAGAAAUCUGUGGCGUAGUGUUUCCCCUGUGUUCAAAUAAUGCAAGAUCUUGCAGUGUGGGAUUGCAAUUCUUAAUGGUAUUGAUUUCUUUAUUUUCAUAGCAAAAAAAUUAUUAGUACUUUUACCCUAGGGGACCAUCCAUAAAGAAUGUCAUCUAAGUAGGGUGGUAGGGGUCAAGAUUAAAAAGACACAAGAGCGGAGGAGGGAGGUUGUCAGAAAAGGACAUCACUCUAUAGAUUUUUUAUUUCAAUUUUAUAAACAUGAAAAACUGUAACAUAAACAUGAAAAAAUGUAAAUAUGUGUUUUUAUGAAGAUAAUUUGAAAUAAUAUUUUUAAUUUUGUUUUUCAAAGGUGUAGGACAAGUGUCAAGCAUCAUUGUAAGAUCAAAUAAUUUUUUUUCCGGUUAAAAUAAUGGGGGCGGUAUCGAUUUUGUGACGUCUUUUUCAAGCGUAGGGGUACAGGAAAAAAGUACAACCGGUGACCAAGGAUGGGGGUCAAAAAAUGCCUAAAAAAGGUUCUUUAUGGAUGGCUCUUAUCUUGUGUCAUUGAUAAUUUUUUUCAUAUUUUCAAUAUUUGUAAAUAUUUAGGAAUUUAAGCGUCUAAAAAAAUGACAAUUUAUAGGAUUAAUGAAAAGUAUGGUUUAAGGUGGCCACAAAAAUAUAAAAGUAUGUAUUGAUUUAGAA
Molecule: non-coding RNA, 1749 nt
Organism: Hydra vulgaris (swiftwater hydra)
Lineage: Eukaryota; Metazoa; Cnidaria; Hydrozoa; Anthoathecata; Hydridae
Source: RefSeq, a predicted model, not a curated record